This 23-nucleotide non-coding RNA is filed under the name Rattus norvegicus (Norway rat). The record is from RNAcentral. Lineage: Eukaryota; Metazoa; Chordata; Mammalia; Rodentia; Muridae.
UUAUUUUUGAGGCGUAAUGGAAU